AUGCUGGAGGUAUCAGAAGUGCGAAUGCUGACGUGAGUAACGACAAAACGGGUGAAAAACCCGUUCGCCGAAAGACCAAGGGUUCCAGUCCAACGUUAAUCGGGGCUGGGUGAGUCGACCCCUAAGGCGAGGCCGAAAGGCGUAGUCGAUGGGAAAAUGGUUAAUAUUCCAUUACUUCUGUGUAAUGCGAUGAGAGGACGGAGAAGGCUAAAUCAGCCUGGCGUUGGUUGUCCAGGUGAAAGGAUGUAGGCAUGUAUCUUAGGCAAAUCCGGGGUACUCUAUGCUGAGAUCUGAUAGCAAGCUGUACUUGUACAGCGAAGUGGUUGAUGCCAUGCUUCCAGGAAAAGUCUCUAAGCUUCAGUUACACAGGAAUCGUACCCGAAACCGACACAGGUGGUCAGGUCGAGUAGACCAAGGCGCUUGAGAGAACUCUGCUGAAGGAACUAGGCAAAAUGGUACCGUAACUUCGGGAGAAGGUACGCUGUUGUUGGUGAUGGAACUCGCUUCCUGAGCUGACGACAGCCGCAGAAACCAGGCCGCUGCAACUGUUUAUUAAAAACAUAGCACUCUGCAAACACGAAAGUGGACGUAUAGGGUGUGAUGCCUGCCCGGUGCUGGAAGGUUAAUUGAUGGGGUUAGCGUAAGCGAAGCUCUUGAUCGAAGCCCCAGUAAACGGCGGCCGUAACUAUAACGGUCCUAAGGUAGCGAAAUUCCUUGUCGGGUAAGUUCCGACCUGCACGAAUGGCAUAAUGAUGGCGGCGCUGUCUCCAGCAGAGGCUCAGUGAAAUCGAAAUCGCUGUGAAGAUGCAGUGUACCCGCGGCUAGACGGAAAGACCCCGUGAACCUUUACUGCAGCUUGACACUGAACUUUGACCUUACUUGUGUAGGAUAGGUGGGAGGCUUUGAAGCUGGAACGCUAGUUCCAGUGGAGCCGUCCUUGAAAUACCACCCUGGUAAUGUUGAGGUUCUAACUCUGUCCCGUGAUCCGGGACGAGGACCGUGUCUGGUGGGUAGUUUGACUGGGGCGGUCUCCUCCUAAAGAGUAACGGAGGAGUACGAAGGUGCGCUCAGCGUGGUCGGAAAUCACGCGUAGAGUAUAAAGGCAAAAGCGCGCUUAACUGCGAGACCCACAAGUCGAGCAGGUACGAAAGUAGGUCUUAGUGAUCCGGUGGUUCUGUAUGGAAGGGCCAUCGCUCAACGGAUAAAAGGUACUCUGGGNNNNNNNNNNNNNNNNNNNNNNNNNNNNNNGAUAACAGGCUGAUACCGCCCAAGAGUUCAUAUCGACGGCGGUGUUUGGCACCUCGAUGUCGGCUCAUCUCAUCCUGGGGCUGAAGCAGGUCCCAAGGGUAUGGCUGUUCGCCAUUUAAAGAGGUACGCGAGCUGGGUUUAGAACGUCGUGAGACAGUUCGGUCCCUAUCUACCGUGGGCGCUGGAAAUUUGAGAGGAUCUGCUCCUAGUACGAGAGGACCAGAGUGGACGAANNNNNNNNNNNNNNNNNNNNNNNNNNNNNNNNNNNNNNNNNNNCCUCUGGUGUACCGGUUGUGACGCCAGUCGCAUCGCCGGGUAGCUAUGUUCGGAAGGGAUAACCGCUGAAAGCAUCUAAGCGGGAAGCCUACCUCAAGAUAAGAUUUCCCUAGGACUUUAUGUCCUCUAAAGAGCCGUUCGAGACUAGGACGUUGAUAGGUUGGAUGUGGAAGCAUAGUGAUAUGUGAAGCUGACCAAUACUAAUUGCUCGUGAGGCUUGACUAUACAACACCCAAGCAGUUG
Molecule: ribosomal RNA, 1767 nt
Filed under: Acinetobacter baumannii
Lineage: Bacteria; Pseudomonadati; Pseudomonadota; Gammaproteobacteria; Moraxellales; Moraxellaceae
Description: partial 23S ribosomal RNA
Rfam family: Bacterial large subunit ribosomal RNA
Source: RNAcentral